Molecule: ribosomal RNA, 406 nt
Filed under: uncultured bacterium
Lineage: Bacteria
Description: partial 16S ribosomal RNA
Rfam family: Bacterial small subunit ribosomal RNA
Source: RNAcentral
AUUGAACGCUGGCGGCAGGCCUAACACAUGCACGUCGAACGAGUGGCGGACGGGUGAGUAAUGGCUGGGAAACUGGCUGAUGGAUGGGGAUAACAACUGGAAACGGUAGCUAAUACCGCAUACCAGCAGAUGUGUCCAAAUGGGAUGAGUUUGUUGGUGGGGUAACGCCUAACGAAGGCGCCGAUCCCUAGCUGGUCUGAGAGGAUGACCAGCCACACUGUACCUGAGACACAGUCCAGCCUCCUACGGGCGGAAGCAGUGGGGAAUAUUGCACAAUGGGCGCAAGCCUGAUUCAGCCAUGCCGCGUAUAUGAAGAAGGCCUUCGGGUUGUAAAGUACUUUCAGCGGGGAGGCGUUACCCGCAGAAGAUGCACCGGCUAACUCCGUGCCAGCAGCCGCGGUAAUAC